GCCCGGAAAGCAAAUUUGGGGUAAAAGAAAAAAACUUAUUCCAACUAGUAAGCCAUUUCCAAAUUCAACCAACAAAAAGGUACACAGUGAGAUUUGCUUAGCAAUUAUGUUUCUUUAAUUGAUUUUUAAAUUAGGAAAAGGUUGAAGGAAAAACUUCGUUCUCUAGUAGUUUUUUAGUUAAAAUCCUUUUUGUGCAAAUUCAUUUUUGAAAUUGUUUACUUCAUUUUCGAAUGGUUCCGUUCACAUUUGUUGUUCAUGUGAGAUGUUAUAUUUACCAGUUACUGCAUUAUAUUUACCACUAUUGCAAGAUGUUUGUUUAGGAAUUACUACUGUUUUGUUUAUCUGGAAUGUUGUGUGGGAGUCCAUCAGGAAUUGCUGGUCUGCAGUAAAUUUAUCAGGCUAGGUGAUGAACAUUAAUGAAUCAGAAAAUGUUUUGCAUGCAUGGUGAAUGUUCUGACAGUUUUAACAGUUGUGAUGUGGUGUUUUCACUUCCACACAUCAUGUAGAGUUUGGUGAUCUAAAACAAUGAACAUGGAAAAAUCACCUGUGCCCACGCUGGCGAUGAUACGUGUACUGAAGGACUUCAGGCUAUCUUUAUAAUUUUUUAAUAGUUUUGCAUUUAUUGAUGAGUCCGCAAGCUCUUAGCUGAUUUCCUCCUUUAGAUACCGCCUGUCGACGAUUUGGCAGCCUCACACAAUUAAAGAACGUAUGCCAAAAAGCCAAAGUGAGCUCUUCCGAGCAGAAAAGUGACGUCGUAUCCAUUUAAUUGAAAAUAGGCACAAGAUAACGCACAAUUGGCGUGCUUAUCUCAGUGGAGAAAUUUUGCCGUGGAACUUAAAACCGAAAUACCAUUGCAGCUGUUAAAAAAAAGAAGUGUAUUACCAUACAGGUGUUGACUAGCUAACAAUCCAGAGAUACGUCAACUUGCGAAAUUUCUAGAUGUGUGUGAAGCGCAAUCAGCAUCCUUGUUGAACUGUGAACCCAAAUCAUGUAUUUUCCUAGAAAUAUCUAGGUUUUUGGAUAAAUAAAUAAAAGA
Long non-coding RNA from Daphnia carinata, 1036 nucleotides. RefSeq lists it as uncharacterized. NCBI's taxonomy places the organism in Eukaryota, Metazoa, Arthropoda, Branchiopoda, Diplostraca, Daphniidae. The transcript has 4 exons. The record is from RefSeq and is a predicted model, not a curated record.